This 400-nucleotide unclassified non-coding RNA is filed under the name uncultured Streptococcaceae bacterium. Its description in RNAcentral is "contains 16S-23S intergenic spacer region". Lineage: Bacteria; Bacillati; Bacillota; Bacilli; Lactobacillales; Streptococcaceae. The record is from RNAcentral.
CCGUCAAUUCAUUUAAGUUUCAACCUUGCGGUCGUACUCCCCAGGCGGAGUGCUUAAUGCGUUAGCUACGGCACUAAACCCCGGAAAGGGUCUAACACCUAGCACUCAUCGUUUACAGCGUGGACUACCAGGGUAUCUAAUCCUGUUUGCUCCCCACGCUUUCGAGCCUCAGCGUCAGUUACAAGCCAGAGAGCCGCUUUCGCCACCGGUGUUCCUCCAUAUAUCUACGCAUUUCACCGCUACACAUGGAAUUCCACUCUCCCCUCUUGCACUCAAGUUAAACAGUUUCCAAAGCCUACUAUGGUUAAGCCACAGCCUUUAACUUCAGACUUAUCUAACCGCCUGCGCUCGCUUUACGCCCAAUAAAUCCGGACAACGCUCGGGACCUACGUAUUACCGC